CCCGAACGUCAGUGACCCAACCGUGGAGAAACUCGUUUCUCCGGAGGGAGCUGCCGAAGGCAGGUCUGAUAACUGGGGUGAAGUCGUAACAAGGUAGC
RNAcentral lists this ribosomal RNA (98 nucleotides) under uncultured bacterium. RNAcentral describes it as "partial 16S ribosomal RNA". The record is from RNAcentral.